GUUGUGUGGUGGAUGUUCUCUGGCUGUGUCGCGUACAAUAAGAACGGUAGAAGAGUUUCUGAACUCCGGUCGCCUCGGCAGUGCGCCAUUGGCCAGCAAAGUCGCGUUUUCCUAAACCCAUAGUUCAUACCGUGUCGUCUGGCAUGGACGUAGACCACUGUUGGGUGCUGUGUCGCGUACAUACAACAAGAACCGUGGAAGAAUUUCUGAACCCUGUCCGCCCCGCCAGUAGGCCAUUGGCCAGCAAAGGCACACAGCGAUCGGACUGAGCAUAUCAAGUAGCCCCUCCUGUGACCCACAAGACCACACUAAUUUGGCCAAGGAGCCUGUCUGGACUUAUGUUGGGACUGCUGGCAGACAGUGUGUUUUUUCUGGACUUAUGUUGGGACUGCUGGUGGACAGUUUCUGUUUUUUAUGGACUUAUGCUGGGACUGCUGGCAGACAGUUUCGGUUUCAGUCUUC
Molecule: long non-coding RNA, 462 nt
Organism: Rhipicephalus sanguineus (brown dog tick)
Lineage: Eukaryota; Metazoa; Arthropoda; Arachnida; Ixodida; Ixodidae
Exons: 3
Source: RefSeq, a predicted model, not a curated record